GACGAACGCUGGCGGCGUGCUUAACACAUGCAAGUCGAGCGGUAAGGCCCUUUCGGGGGUACACGAGCGGCGAACGGGUGAGUAACACGUGGGUGACCUGCCCUUAGCUCUGGGAUAAGCCUGGGAAACUGGGUCUAAUACCGGAUAUGACUCCAUGACGCAUGUUGUGGGGUGGAAAGCCUUGUGCGGCUAGGGAUGGGCCCGCGGCCUAUCAGCUUGUUGGUGGGGUGAUGGCCUACCAAGGCGACGACGGGUAGCCGGCCUGAGAGGGCGACCGGCCACACUGGGACUGAGACACGGCCCAGACUCCUACGGGAGGCAGCAGUGGGGAAUCUUGCGCAAUGGGCGAAAGCCUGACGCAGCGACGCCGCGUGAGGGAAGAAGGCCUCGGUCGUAA
This 397-nucleotide ribosomal RNA is filed under the name uncultured bacterium. Its description in RNAcentral is "bacterial SSU rRNA". It matches the Rfam family "Bacterial small subunit ribosomal RNA", at positions 28 to 428 of the family's 1533-position model. The record is from RNAcentral.